Hipposideros armiger (great roundleaf bat) is the source of this 1157-nucleotide long non-coding RNA. RefSeq lists it as uncharacterized. The transcript has 3 exons. Lineage: Eukaryota; Metazoa; Chordata; Mammalia; Chiroptera; Hipposideridae. The record is from RefSeq and is a predicted model, not a curated record.
AUGAAUACUGGGUCUACUCAGCCAGCACCCUGGAGCCAGGGUACCCCAAGCCGCUGACCAACCUGGGGCUGCCCCCCGACGUUGAACGAGUGGAUGCUGCCUUUAACUGGAGCAAGAACAAGAAGACAUACAUCUUUGCCGGAGAGAAGUUCUGGAGAUACAAUGAGGUGAAGAAGAAAAUGGAUCCCGGCUUCCCCAAGCUCAUCGCAGAUGCCUGGACUGCCGUCCCUGAUAACCUGGACGCCGUGCUGGACCUGCAGGGCAGUGGUUACAGCUACUUCUUCACGGGUCCAUAUUACCUGAAGUUGGAUAACCAAAGCCUGAAGAGCGUGAAGUUUGGAGGCAUCAGAUCCGACUGGCUGGGCUGCUGAGCUGUCCCCAGCUCCCACAGGCCCUGCCUCUCCGUCACUUCUGCGCACUGGGCCCUGAGCAUCAGGGAAGGGCCUGGCAGCCUUCAGCUCUGUGGUUAAUCAGCAUUCCUAGCCCCCACCUGGUAAUUUAAGAUUCUGGAGAGUGGCUCUGCCCUGUGCCCAAGGAAAGGUGCUGACUGUACCCCUCCCAGGUGCCCCUCCCCCUGUCCAUGUCCCACUAGCCCGCCAGAGCCACCUCCAAAGAGAUGCUUUGAAAUCCUCCAUGCGGCCCUGCCAUGGGCUGCCCUGGUGCUGUCAUACUUCAGGCUCCUCUCCCUCCACAACCUUCUGUGGCUUACAACACCCUCAGAGCCAACAGAGACUGUCUCCCGAGGGCACUGGUGGCCCCACAGCCUGGCCUGGGGCCGUGGAAGAGAGGCAUGGCCAGAAGGCCACCCAGACGCCUGGUUUCUUACUGCUGGCUGCCUUAGAACCUUGCCUACAUUAGCAGUCUGCUUUGUAUGCACUUUGUUCUUUUAUUUUGAUCGUUUUUAUUUUUCCACUUUGAAACUACGUUUCCUGACAGAAGGUUUCAGGCUGUCUGAAGUCACUACACGAUGCAUCUCAGCCCACCUAGCAAUGGUUCCCUUGUUCACUCUGUUUAGUAUGCUCCUGCCCCGUCACUUCCUCCACUGGAUGGAGGAAAACCAAGCCAUGGUUUCUCGCUCAGCCCUCCCCUCCUCGCCCUUCAACAGUUCCCCAUGGGAAAUGUCAACAGAUAUGAAUAAAAACACCAGUUGAGUGGCA